GGAUGUGAGGGCAAUCUGGCUGCGACAUCUGUCACCCCAUUGAUAGCCAGGGCUGAUUUCGGCUGAUGCAACUGGCUGGGCAGGUGUCCCCUUCCUCCCUCACCAUUCCCUGUGUGUCCCUCCCAAAACCAAAUGCUCUUGUCAAAGAUGACAACCUUAGGCUGGCGUGGUGGUGCAUGCCUUUCAUCCCAGCACUUGGGAGGCAGAGGUAGGAGGAUCGCCAUGAGUUCAAGACCACCCUGAGACUACAGAGUGAAUUUCG
RNAcentral lists this small RNA (262 nucleotides) under Jaculus jaculus (lesser Egyptian jerboa). Its description in RNAcentral is "7SK RNA (ENSJJAG00000006960.1)". The stretch from base 1 to 192 matches the Rfam family "7SK RNA". From Rfam's summary of the family: 7SK was discovered as an abundant small nuclear RNA in the mid-70s but a possible function has only recently been suggested. The record is from RNAcentral. Lineage: Eukaryota; Metazoa; Chordata; Mammalia; Rodentia; Dipodidae.